Molecule: non-coding RNA, 367 nt
Organism: Nicotiana tabacum (common tobacco)
Lineage: Eukaryota; Viridiplantae; Streptophyta; Magnoliopsida; Solanales; Solanaceae
Source: RefSeq, a predicted model, not a curated record
UUGGAAAGUUGGAUGCAUGUAGCUUGUCAAUCACCACUCUUCCGGGGUUCGACAGAACAAGCUGUUCAAGAAAUGAAGAAGAUAAGAUUUUUAGACACAAAUUUGUAGUUUUUGAGGCUUCUGAGCAACUCUUCCAAGGCAUGGAUUCCACUGGUGUCAAUGUCAGUAACAGCUGAAAGGAGAAGAGAAGAAACACGAUGAGUCGCUAAGUGUAUGAUUCCAAUAAGUAGGAUAACAUGCUCUUAAUUUCAGCGACAAAGGAACUUUUGUUGCCUCGGGGUAUUGUUGACUGUUCCUGUAUACAUUUGUCCGGGGUAUCCUACCAAGAGUAGCUGUUCGCGGCCUUGUGACUUGGAGGAGAAUCUUA